This 253-nucleotide ribosomal RNA is filed under the name uncultured bacterium. RNAcentral's name for it is "partial 16S ribosomal RNA". It matches the Rfam family "Bacterial small subunit ribosomal RNA", at positions 524 to 776 of the family's 1533-position model. The record is from RNAcentral.
GACGAACCGAGCGAACGUUGUUCGGAAUCACUGGGCUUAAAGGGCGCGUAGGCGGGCUGUCAAGUCCGGGGUGAAAUCUUUCGGCUUAACCGGAAAAGUGCCUUGGAUACUGACAGUCUCGAGGGAGGUAGGGGCAGCUGGAACUUCCGGUGGAGCGGUGAAAUGCGUUGAUAUCGGAAGGAACUCCGGUGGCGAAAGCGAGCUGCUGGACCUCUUCUAACGCUGAGGCGCGAAAGCUAGGGGAGCAAACGGG